RNAcentral lists this ribosomal RNA (253 nucleotides) under uncultured bacterium. RNAcentral's name for it is "partial 16S ribosomal RNA". It matches the Rfam family "Bacterial small subunit ribosomal RNA", at positions 524 to 776 of the family's 1533-position model. The record is from RNAcentral.
UACGUAGGGCGCAAGCGUUGUCCGGAAUUAUUGGGCGUAAAGAGCUCGUAGGCGGCCUGUUACGUCUGCUGUGAAAUCCCGGGGCUUAACCCCGGGCGUGCAGUGGAUACGGGCAGGCUGGAGGCAGGCAGGGGAGAACGGAAUUCCCGGUGUAGCGGUGAAAUGCGCAGAUAUCGGGAGGAACGCCGGUGGCGAAGGCGGUUCUCUGGGCCUGUACUGACGCUGAGGAGCGAAAGCGUGGGGAGCGAACAGG